CAUAUAUCUAUCUUACAUUACAAGUGGCAGCUUUGAGGUGAUAGCUUAUUACAUUUCAUCGAAUAAGAUUGCUCCUCUUCUUGAUGUGUUCAUGUCAAAGCCGAUAGAUGUACAACUCAUUUCCUCAAAUUUUCUGUUAAUUUAAGGUUGCUUGUGUCGCAAAAAAGUACGUCACUCGACGGAUAUUUGCAGCCGGGCGAGAUGUAGUGUAACUCUUGGUACGAAUUGUAAAAUGUGAAUUUCUAUGGCAUGAUAUGUCUAAAUCCUGAUGGAUGUGCUUUAAUGUUGUUUUCCCUGCAUCGACCUGUAAUCUUGUGUUGUCUGAAUCAAGUUUUUAUCUUUUGUUUGAUGAAGAUUUUCUUUUUUGCCCA
Molecule: RNA transcript, 371 nt
Organism: Mercurialis annua (annual mercury)
Lineage: Eukaryota; Viridiplantae; Streptophyta; Magnoliopsida; Malpighiales; Euphorbiaceae
Exons: 3
Source: RefSeq, a predicted model, not a curated record